RNAcentral lists this ribosomal RNA (665 nucleotides) under alpha proteobacterium IMCC14433. RNAcentral's name for it is "bacterial SSU rRNA". It matches the Rfam family "Bacterial small subunit ribosomal RNA", at positions 28 to 749 of the family's 1533-position model. Lineage: Bacteria; Pseudomonadati; Pseudomonadota; Alphaproteobacteria. The record is from RNAcentral.
AACGAACGCUGGCGGCAGGCUUAACACAUGCAAGUCGAACGAUAUAGUGGCAGACGGGUGAGUAACGCGUGGAAACGUGCCUUUCACUACGGAAUAGCUCUUGGAAACGAGUGGUAAUACCGUAUACGCCCUCCGGGGGAAAGAUUUAUCGGUGAAAGAUCGGUCCGCGUUAGAUUAGCUAGUUGGUGGGGUAAUGGCCUACCAAGGCGACGAUCUAUAGCUGGUCUGAGAGGAUGAUCAGCCACACUGGGACUGAGACACGGCCCAGACUCCUACGGGAGGCAGCAGUGGGGAAUAUUGGACAAUGGGCGCAAGCCUGAUCCAGCCAUGCCGCGUGAAUGAUGAAGGCCUUAGGGUUGUAAAAUUCUUUCGCUAGGGAUGAUAAUGACAGUACCUAGUAAAGAAGCCCCGGCUAACUUCGUGCCAGCAGCCGCGGUAAUACGAAGGGGGCUAGCGUUGUUCGGAAUUACUGGGCGUAAAGCGCGCGUAGGCGGGUUAUUAAGUCAGAUGUGAAAUCCCAGGGCUCAACCCUGGAACUGCAUUUGAAACUGAUAGCCUAGAGUUCAGGAGAGGUUAGCGGAAUACCGAGUGUAGAGGUGAAAUUCGUAGAUAUUCGGUGGAACACCAGUGGCGAAGGCGGCUAACUGGACUGAUACUGACGCUGA